GGUCAAGCGGGUGAAGGCAUACGGUGGAUGCCUUGGCAUCAAGGGCCGAAGAAGGGCGUAGUGCGGCUACGAUAAGCCUCGGUGAGCUGCCAAGCAAGCCUAACCGAGGAUUCCCGAAUGGGGCAACCCGCUCAGGUAAAACCUGG
This 146-nucleotide ribosomal RNA is filed under the name Dehalococcoidales bacterium. RNAcentral describes it as "partial 23S ribosomal RNA". It matches the Rfam family "Bacterial large subunit ribosomal RNA", at positions 1 to 147 of the family's 2925-position model. Lineage: Bacteria; Bacillati; Chloroflexota; Dehalococcoidia; Dehalococcoidales. The record is from RNAcentral.